GAAAUGCGAUAAGUAGUGUGAAUUGCAGAAUUCAGUGAAUCAUCGAAUCUUUGAACGCACAUUGCGCCCCUUGGUAUUCCAUGGGGCAUGCCUGUUCGAGCGUCAUUUGUACCCUCAAGCUCUGCUUGGUGUUGGGUGUUUGUCCCGUCUCCGCGCGUGGACUCGCCCCAAAGUGAUUGGCAGCCGGCGUACUGGUCCCGGAGCGCAGCACAUGUCGCGCAAACGAGUGCCUUGGUACGGCGGCGUUCAUAAGCCCCUCUCUCACGCUCUUGACCUCGGAUCAGGUAGGGAUACCCGCUGAACUUAAGC
Molecule: unclassified non-coding RNA, 309 nt
Filed under: plant metagenome
Description: partial contains 5.8S ribosomal RNA, internal transcribed spacer 2, and large subunit ribosomal RNA
Rfam family: 5.8S ribosomal RNA (bases 1-105)
Source: RNAcentral